This 292-nucleotide ribosomal RNA is filed under the name uncultured bacterium. RNAcentral describes it as "partial 16S ribosomal RNA". It matches the Rfam family "Bacterial small subunit ribosomal RNA", at positions 505 to 796 of the family's 1533-position model. The record is from RNAcentral.
GUGUCAGCAGCCGCGGUAAUACGGAGGGUGCAAGCGUUAUCCGGAUUUACUGGGUUUAAAGGGUGCGCAGGCGGAUAUGUAAGUCAGUGGUGAAAUCUCUAGGCUUAACCUGGAAAUUGCCGUUGAUACUAUAUAUCUUGAAUGCUGUGGAGGUAAGCGGAAUAUGUCAUGUAGCGGUGAAAUGCUUAGAUAUGACAUAGAACACCUAUUGCGAAGGCAGCUUACUACGCAGAUAUUGACGCUCAUGCACGAAAGCGUGGGGAUCAAACAGGAUUAGAAACCCUCGUAGUCC